RNAcentral lists this ribosomal RNA (262 nucleotides) under uncultured bacterium. RNAcentral describes it as "partial 16S ribosomal RNA". It matches the Rfam family "Bacterial small subunit ribosomal RNA", at positions 793 to 1055 of the family's 1533-position model. The record is from RNAcentral.
GUCCACGCAGUAAACGAUGAGUGCUAGUUGUCGGGGCCUUAGGCUUCGGUGGCGAAGUUAACACGAUAAGCACUCCGCCUGGGGACUACGGUCGCAAGACUAAAACUCAAAGGAAUUGACGGGGACCCGCACAAGCAGUGGAGCAUGUGGUUUAAUUCGAUGCUACGCGAAAAACCUUACCACCUCUUGAAUCCCAUUGACCGGUACAGAGAUGUACUUUUGGAGCAAUCCACAGUGGAGACAGGUGUUGCAUGGCUGUCGU